This 466-nucleotide ribosomal RNA is filed under the name uncultured bacterium. Its description in RNAcentral is "partial 16S ribosomal RNA". It matches the Rfam family "Bacterial small subunit ribosomal RNA", at positions 28 to 507 of the family's 1533-position model. The record is from RNAcentral.
GACGAACGCUGGCGGCGCGCCUAACACAUGCAAGUCGAACGGGCGGGUGGAGGUUUACUUUCUCAAGCGAGUGGCGCACGGGUGAGUAACGCGUGAGGAACAUGCCUCUAAGAGGGGGACAACAGUUGGAAAAGCCUGCUAAUACCGCAUAAGCUAAAGACACGGCAUCGGGUAGAGGGAAAAGGAGCAAUCCGCUUUGAGAUGGCGUCGCGUCCGCUUAGCUUGUUGGGGAGGUAAUGGCACACCAAGGCGACGAUCGGUACACGGACACUGAGGCUGAGCCGCCACAUUGGGACUGGGACACGGCCCGGACUCCUACGCGAGGCAGCAGAGCGGAAUGUUGCAACAUCGGGGAAACCCUGAUGCACCGCCGACGCUUGGACGAUGUAGUUCUUCGGAUUGUAAACUCCUGUUGUCGAGGAAGAUAAUGACGGUACUCAACAAGAAAGUGACGGCUAACUACGUG